AUACGGAGGGGGCUAGCGUUGUUCGGAAUUACUGGGCGUAAAGCGCGCGUAGGCGGACCAGUCAGUCAGGGGUGAAAUCCCGGGGCUCAACCCCGGAACUGCUUUGAUACUGCUGGUCUUGAGUUCGAGAGAGGUGAGUGGAAUUCCGAGUGUAGAGGUGAAAUUCGUAGAUAUUCGGAGGAACACCAGUGGCGAAGGCGGCUCACUGGCUCGAUACUGACGCUGAGGUGCGAAAGCGUGGGGAGCAAACAGGAUUAGAAACCCUAGUAGUCC
RNAcentral lists this ribosomal RNA (273 nucleotides) under uncultured bacterium. RNAcentral's name for it is "partial 16S ribosomal RNA". It matches the Rfam family "Bacterial small subunit ribosomal RNA", at positions 523 to 796 of the family's 1533-position model. The record is from RNAcentral.